This 437-nucleotide ribosomal RNA is filed under the name uncultured bacterium. RNAcentral describes it as "bacterial SSU rRNA". It matches the Rfam family "Bacterial small subunit ribosomal RNA", at positions 338 to 767 of the family's 1533-position model. The record is from RNAcentral.
CCUACGGGAGGCUGCAGUGGGGAAUAUUGCGCAAUGGGCGAAAGCCUGACGCAGCGACGCCGCGUGAGGGAUGAAGGUUCUCGGAUCGUAAACCUCUGUCAGAAGGGAAGAAAUUAUAUCAUGCUAAUCAGUGGUGUAUUGACGGUACCUUCAAAGGAAGCACCGGCUAACUCCGUGCCAGCAGCCGCGGUAAUACGGAGGGUGCGAGCGUUAAUCGGAAUUACUGGGCGUAAAGCGCACGUAGGCUGUAUGACAAGUCAAGGGUGAAAUGCCACGGCUCAACCGUGGAACUGCCUUUGAAACUGUCAAACUGGAGUAUGUGAGAGGGCGGCGGAAUUCCUGGUGUAGGAGUGAAAUCCGUAGAUAUCAGGAGGAACAUCAGUGGCGAAGGCGGCCGCCUGGCACAAAACUGACGCUGAGGUGCGAAAGCGUGGGUA